GAUGAACGCUGGCGGCGUGCCUAAUACAUGCAAGUCGAGCGAACAGACGAGGAGCUUGCUCCUUUGACGUUAGCGGCGGACGGGUGAGUAACACGUAGGUAACCUACCUAUAAGACUGGGAUAACUUCGGGAAACCGGAGCUAAUACCGGAUAAUAUUUCGAACCGCAUGGUUCGAUAGUGAAAGAUGGCUUUGCUAUCACUUAUAGAUGGACCUGCGCCGUAUUAGCUAGUUGGUAAGGUAACGGCUUACCAAGGCAACGAUACGUAGCCGACCUGAGAGGGUGAUCGGCCACACUGGAACUGAGACACGGUCCAGACUCCUACGGGAGGCAGCAGUAGGGAAUCUUCCGCAAUGGGCGAAAGCCCGACGGAGCAACGCCGCGUGAGUGAUGAAGGUCUUCGGAUCGUAAAACUCUGUUAUUAGGGAAGAACAAACGUGUAAGUAACUGUGCACGUCUUGACGGUACCUAAUCAGAAAGCCACGGCUAACUACGUG
Molecule: ribosomal RNA, 497 nt
Filed under: uncultured bacterium
Lineage: Bacteria
Description: partial 16S ribosomal RNA
Rfam family: Bacterial small subunit ribosomal RNA
Source: RNAcentral